CAACGGGAUGGAGGGAUCCAUCCCGAAGAAGAAGGAGCCCCUGUUUUAGGGCUCCUUCUCCUUCUCCUUCUCCUUUGAGUCCACCGAGGGAGAGAGCCGCCGCACCCUAAGAAAGAAAUGGGGGAGGGUCUUCUUCGUGUGGCCACCGAGAGAGAGGGAGAGAGAGAGGGAGAGAGGGAGAGAGAGAGGAGCCACGGCACCGGGUGGCGGGUGGUCUCCUUCUUCUUUUCCGUCGGAGAGGGGGAGGCGCCGGUCUUCGUCGGGGCUGAGGUUCUGCGAGGGAUUUGCGGAAUUAAUUGGAUUUGUUGUGGAUCGCGUUCGCAAGAUUUCGAGAACUAGUCUAUUGGGGAUUCAAAUUGGGAGAGCGCCUAGAAGGAUUGUGGCACAAGUUAUCUUAGAUUAGGGUUAUUUAAGUUGAUUUGUUAUUAUGGACAUUUAUUAUGAUUGGUGGACUUUUAUUAUUUUAAGAACUAGGUUUCUGCAUGUUGGUAAAUGAUUAUUCCGCUGCAUAUUUAGACUUGUGAGACAUUAUGACUUGAGUUAGUCAAUGGAAUAAGAUUUCAAUUUAUUCU
Molecule: non-coding RNA, 572 nt
Organism: Phoenix dactylifera (date palm)
Lineage: Eukaryota; Viridiplantae; Streptophyta; Magnoliopsida; Arecales; Arecaceae
Source: RefSeq, a predicted model, not a curated record